Molecule: ribosomal RNA, 206 nt
Filed under: Acinetobacter baumannii
Lineage: Bacteria; Pseudomonadati; Pseudomonadota; Gammaproteobacteria; Moraxellales; Moraxellaceae
Description: partial 16S ribosomal RNA
Rfam family: Bacterial small subunit ribosomal RNA
Source: RNAcentral
AUUGGGUUUAAAGGGUGCGUAGGCGGGCUGGUAAGUCAGUGGUGAAAUCCCGCAGCUUAACUGGAGAACUGCCAUUGAUACUGAUAGUCUUGAAUAUUGUGGAGGUAGGCGGAAUAUGUCAUGUAGCGGUGAAAUGCUUAGAUAUGACAUAGAACACCAAUUGCGAAGGCAGCUUACUACGCAAAUAUUGACGCUGAGGCACGAAA